Carcharodon carcharias (great white shark) is the source of this 519-nucleotide non-coding RNA. Lineage: Eukaryota; Metazoa; Chordata; Chondrichthyes; Lamniformes; Lamnidae. The record is from the annotation of a RefSeq genome assembly.
AUGUUGGGUGUUACCUUUUCCUCAUUCCUUACAGCUGUAGCUCUCUUAAAUGCUGUUAAUGCUGCAGACACGGUCUCACAGGAGCCGGUUACAGCGGCAAAGUUUGAAGGAGACUCGGUGACCAUUAAUUACACCUAUUCGACCACUGCUAAUUCACACUCUUUACAACUGUACCGUCAGGAUCAGGGCGAAGCCCCUACAAUCUUAAUCUACAUCCCUAAGUAUGGAGAUGUUUUCAGAGCAGACGGCGCGGGGACUCGAUUUUCUGCCUCUCUCGACUCUUUGAAAAGUGAAGGGAAUUUCACCAUCCGUGACCUGCGGCUGUCUGACAGCGCGGUGUAUUACUGCGGGCUGAGAGACACAGUGACAGGAACCAGAGGGAGCCCCGCUUUCUACAUCUCCAGUCUCCGUUCCUCGGUUCAUUUGAUCAAAGCUGACACAUAUUGCCUAUUUGAUCAGAGUAUAUUUAGCUAUUGUUAUUCUGGUAGCGUGGCCGAGCGGUCUAAGGCGCUGGAUUAA